Molecule: ribosomal RNA, 238 nt
Filed under: uncultured bacterium
Lineage: Bacteria
Description: partial 16S ribosomal RNA
Rfam family: Bacterial small subunit ribosomal RNA
Source: RNAcentral
UACGAAGGGGGCGAGCGUUGUUCGGAUUUACUGGGCGUAAAGGGCGCGCAGGCGGCGAUCUUUGUCAGGCCGUGAAAGCCCCGGGCUCAACCUGGGAACGGCGCUUGGGACGGGAUGGCUAGAGGAUCGGGAAGAGGAGAGUGGAAUUCCCAAGUGUAGAGGUGAAAUUCGUGAGAUAUUGGGAAGAACACCAGUGGCGCAAGGCGGCUCUCUGGAGCCGAUACUGACGCGUGAGGCG